Molecule: ribosomal RNA, 217 nt
Filed under: uncultured bacterium
Lineage: Bacteria
Description: partial 16S ribosomal RNA
Rfam family: Bacterial small subunit ribosomal RNA
Source: RNAcentral
ACGCUCGACACCUACGGGGGCAGCAGUGAGGAAUAUUGGUCAAUGGGCGCUAGCCUGAACCAGCCAAGUAGCGUGAAGGAUGAAGGCUCUAUGGGUCGUAAACUUCUUUUAUAUAAGAAUAAAGUGCAGUAUGUAUACUGUUUUGUAUGUAUUAUAUGAAUAAGGAUCGGCUAACUCCGUGCCAUCAGCCGCGGUAAUCUGAGCGGGCUGGCAAGGC